AUUGAACGCUGGCGGCAGGCCUAACACAUGCAAGUCGGACGGUAGCACAGAGGAGCUUGCUCCUUGGGUGACGAGUGGCGGACGGGUGAGUAAUGUCUGGGGAUCUGCCCGAUAGAGGGGGAUAACCACUGGAAACGGUGGCUAAUACCGCAUAACGUCGCAAGACCAAAGAGGGGGAACUUCGGGCCUCUCACUAUCGGAUGAACCCAGAUGGGAUUAGCUAGUAGGCGGGGUAAUGGCCCACCUAGGCGACGAUCCCUGGCUGGUCUGAGAGGAUGACCAGCCACACUGGGACUGAGACACGGUCCAGACUCCUACGGGAGGCAGCAGUGGGGAAUAUUGCACAAUGGGCGCAAGCCUGAUGCAGCCAUGCCGCGUGUAUGAAGAAGGCCUUCGGGUUGUAAAGUACUUUCAGCGGGGAGGAAGGCGACGCGGUUAAUAACCGCGUCGAUUGACGUUACCCGCAGAAGAAGCACCGGCUAACUCCGUGCCAGCAGCCGCCGUAA
RNAcentral lists this ribosomal RNA (506 nucleotides) under uncultured bacterium. RNAcentral describes it as "partial 16S ribosomal RNA". It matches the Rfam family "Bacterial small subunit ribosomal RNA", at positions 29 to 523 of the family's 1533-position model. The record is from RNAcentral.